GCAUAUCAAUAAGCGGAGGAAAAGAAACCAACAGGGAUUGCCCUAGUAACGGCGAGUGAAGCGGCAACAGCUCAAAUUUGAAAUCUGGCUCUCUUUGGGGGUCCGAGUUGUAAUUUGCAGAGGAUGCUUUGGCAUUGGCGGCGUUCUAAGUUCCUUGGAACAGGACAUCACAGAGGGUGAGAAUCCCGUACGUGGUCGCCUGCCUUUGCCGUGUAAAGCUCCUUCGACGAGUCGAGUUGUUUGGGAAUGCAGCUCUAAAUGGGAGGUAAAUUUCUUCUAAAGCUAAAUACCGGCCAGAGACCGAUAGCGCACAAGUAGAGUGAUCGAAAGAUGAAAAGUACUUUGGAAAGAGAGUCAAAAAGCACGUGAAAUUGUUGAAAGGGAAGCGCUUGCAGCCAGACUUGCCCGCAGUUGCUCACCUAGGCUUUGGCCUGGGGCACUCUUCUGCGGGCAGGCCAGCAUCAGUUUGGGCGGUUGGAUAAAGGCCUCUGUCACGUAUCUCCCUCCGGGGUGACCUUAUAGGGGAGGCGUAAUGCAACCAGCCCGGACUGAGGUCCGCGCAUCUGCUAGGAUGCUGGCGUAAUGGCUGUAAGCGGCCCGUCUUGAAACACGGACCAAGGAGUCUAACAUCUAUGCGAGUGUUUGGGUGUCAAGCCCGGGCGCGCAAUGAAAGUGAACGGAGGUGGGAACCCUUUGGGUGCACCAUCGACCGAUCCUGAUGUCUUCGGAUGGAUUUGAGUAAGAGCAUAGCUGUUGGGACCCGAAAGAUGGUGAACUAUGCUUGAAUAGGGUGAAGCCAGAGGAAACUCUGGUGGAGGCUCGCAGCGGUUCUGACGUGCAAAUCGAUCGUCAAAUUUGGGCAUAGGGGCGAAAGACUAAUCGAACCAUCUAGUAGCUGGUUCCUGCCGAAG
RNAcentral lists this ribosomal RNA (911 nucleotides) under Didymosphaeria variabile. RNAcentral describes it as "eukaryotic LSU rRNA". It matches the Rfam family "Eukaryotic large subunit ribosomal RNA", at positions 38 to 966 of the family's 3401-position model. The record is from RNAcentral. Lineage: Eukaryota; Fungi; Ascomycota; Dothideomycetes; Pleosporales; Didymosphaeriaceae.